This is a long non-coding RNA of Brassica napus (rape), 2374 nucleotides long. RefSeq lists it as uncharacterized. The transcript has 3 exons. NCBI's taxonomy places the organism in Eukaryota, Viridiplantae, Streptophyta, Magnoliopsida, Brassicales, Brassicaceae. The record is from RefSeq and is a predicted model, not a curated record.
GUGUAGACCGGUGGUAAAUGACUUGGUUCUCUAGCAGCAAUAGAUGACUUAGUUUGACUCAAAGUAACGAGAUUUUCUUACAAAAAAAUGGCCUCAAAGUAUUUAUCGUAUGUGAAAGUCCUCUUGGACUCUGCCUUUCAUUCCAAAUCCAAAGACCCCGUUCUAAAUGGGAAAUGAGACUUGGUCAAGCAAGCAUAACUAUUGAAUUAAUAUUAAAUAUGAUAAUGAUGACCUACAUCCACUUGGAUUUGGAUAUAUGGCUCUGACUAUAAAACACUUGUGGGGAUAAUAUAUUAGAGUAAAACAAAUUUUCAGGUGUAUUACGUUGAUAUCAUCUGAUCAAGAGAAAAAUGUUUUUAGUCAAGAGAAAACUUUUACUCUAGGUUUCACUUUUCUCUCUCCUCUGUUUUUUACCUUUUGUUUUUCUCCCAUUAACUCCACUCAUAUUUACUCUCAUUUACUCUAUUUUAACCGGUCACACUCUAUAUGUUUGGUAGUGAUAAUUAAUAGUUGUUGGUGAGUGCUAGUAAAUGACUAUAUAAACAUAAAUGCAUUGUAUUCGUUUUAGUGCAUCUACUGGUUUUGUUCUCUAACAAGAAAACUGAAAUACUUUUUGAACAAAUUAAAAAAAUGUGGUUUAUGCAAAAUCAAAAAUGGUAAGAACGGAAAAACAGAAAAAGCAACAGUGUUUUUUUUUUUAAAUGCCACAAAGCUAGAAACCCAUCUUAUUCAAAAUUUUGAAAUCAUGAUCACGAAAUAGUCUCUAGUCACUUAAUUUCACAGCCUUGCUCUCCAAUCGCAUACUAUGCAUGAGCUAACAAAUUGCUAAAUAAUAGUAAUUAAUGUCUCACUGUUCCUUUUGUAUUUGUGGAUUUGACUGUUAGUUAGAACAUAAACAUGCCUCUUUCACUGCUCUUGUCUGUUAGAACAUAAACAUGGCUCUUUCACUGCUCUUGUCUUAGCUGCUAAGAAGCUGGCAUCUUCUGCUACCAAUUCCACCGCCAGAGAACGGAGAUGCCAAGCCGCCGCCGGCGUCUCGCCUCCGUCUAAAUCCGGCUCUUUCGGUGCGCAAGUCUCUCACUUUCGGGACGAUACAAAAACCCUUUUCGAUUUUAUAUCAAAAUCCGAUGCAAAGUAUUGAACUUUGUGUAAUUUUGAUUCGUUGAUCACUUAUUUCAUCUUACUUUUAGCUUCUCAACUCAUUUCUAGGGAUUAUCUGUUGAUGAUAUUCCCAUAGACACUCUCUGUACUUCAUAUCUUGGAGCAAAGACCUUGUUUUGAGGAUACCGUGAAGAAUGUGUAGAUUCUUGUUUUGAGGAUCCCGUGAAGAAUGUGUAGAUUCUUGUUUUAUAAGAUGGCAUCUUUUUUUUUUUUGCUGGAACUUGUCUCUCUGAUUGAUUGCCUUUGUUUCCAUGAGUACAAUAACAAUGAUCUGGUCUUGGCUGAUGCUUGCAUGUUAAAGAUUCAAAUCAGUUUCUUUGAUCAUUUGGUUACCCUCUAGUGUAGUGGGCAGAGUUUUGUUAAUAUAACUCCUGGUGAGGUGAGUAUUUUUUUUUCUCUGUAAUACUAUUCUAAAGGCCUGCUUUUGAGUGAGGGUUAUGAUUUGGUUAGAACUUUGAAUUUAUUGGUUAAAAAACGCAAUCUAACGUCACAUGAAUUCGAGUGUUCUUAUGUAAUUUUUGGAUUUAAUUUGAUAGGAUGUGGCCCAGAAAAUUAUAUUUUUUUUUUCGCUGAGCAAAGCAAGCAUGAGUUAUGCGUUCUUUCUGCAUCUGGCACCAUCUCUAAUGCAUCCUUGUCUAACCUACAUCAGGAACCAGUGUAUCUUAUCAGGGUCAGUACGAAAUCCUCUCGCUGAAUGGAUCCUAUAUUCGGGGCGAGCAUGGUGGUAAAACUGGUGGCCUGAGCGUUUGUUUAUCUAGUUCAGAUGGGUUCGGUGGAGGUGUUGGAGGACCCCUAAAGGCUGCUGGUCCAGUUCAGGAAUGAGAAGAAAUGGGUAAUCAGAAAAUGGAGAUCAUGAGUAAAUGGCAGAUUAGUACUGAUUCAAGUUUCUGAAGAAGUGUGUAGAUGUUAAUGAAAGUUUGAGCAUGAAUCAAGGUGAGAGUGGACUUAUCAUAUCAUAUAAUGGCCUUAAGGUUUUUUCUCAUUGCAAAGGCAGAGAAAAGAGAGAGGCCAGAGAAGAAAACAGUGAUGCUUUUUGUUCUUGGUUCAGUGUUAAUAUUAUAGUAACUUCACAUCCUUUUCUGGAUUCUAUUUCCUUUCAAUCUUUUUGGUUCUUCCCCUGUAAUCAGUUUUUUUUUACCAAAAGGAAUUUGCUCAUUUUUUUAAAAUACUGUAUAGACAAUUUGUUUUGAUAAAUGGAUUUUUAAGUUUAUAA